Long non-coding RNA from Hemicordylus capensis (graceful crag lizard), 464 nucleotides. RefSeq lists it as uncharacterized. The transcript has 2 exons. NCBI's taxonomy places the organism in Eukaryota, Metazoa, Chordata, Lepidosauria, Squamata, Cordylidae. The record is from RefSeq and is a predicted model, not a curated record.
AACAAAUACGUGCUCCAUGUUGCCAGUGAGGGGAGAGUGAGCGAGACUGGCUUAUGACAAACGGAUAAUGGAACAAGACUGAAUGAGUCGUGACAAAUCUGUAAUCAGAGCUGUUUGACAUGGAACAAUCUGCCUCGUGCCAUGAUGGGGUCUCCUUUGCUGAAGGUUUUCAAAGAGAGGCUGGAUGGCCAUCUGUCAAGAAUGCUGGAGCUCGUACUGAGCACGGGGUUCGACUAGAAGAUCUCCAAGAUCCCUCUUCCAACUCUAAAAUUCUAAGAUUCUAUGAUACUAUGAUUGCUAAAUUAAAUAACAUUUGUAAAGUGACAGGCAACCAUUAUCUUGAUUCAAGCCUCAGCAAAUACCAACAGAAGAUACCUGCUAAUCGUGGACAUACUUCAUGCAUCUUAUGAAAUGAAUUGUACCCCACAAAAAGGUGAUUCUGCAAUAAAUUUAUUGGUCCUUAA